This 70-nucleotide transfer RNA is filed under the name Nocomis biguttatus (hornyhead chub). RNAcentral describes it as "tRNA-Asp". It matches the Rfam family "tRNA". From Rfam's summary of the family: Transfer RNA (tRNA) molecules are approximately 80 nucleotides in length. Lineage: Eukaryota; Metazoa; Chordata; Actinopteri; Cypriniformes; Leuciscidae. The record is from RNAcentral.
AAGACAUUAGUAAAAUAUAUUACAUCACCUUGUCAAGGUGAUAUUACGGGUUAAACCCCUGUAUGUCUUA